Molecule: ribosomal RNA, 253 nt
Filed under: uncultured bacterium
Lineage: Bacteria
Description: partial 16S ribosomal RNA
Rfam family: Bacterial small subunit ribosomal RNA
Source: RNAcentral
UACGUAGGGUGCAAGCGUUAAUCGGAAUUACUGGGCGUAAAGUGUGCGCAGGUGGCCGCGCAUGUCGAGUGUGAAAUGCCCGGGCUUAACCUGGGAACUGCAUUUGUGACUGCAUGGCUAGAGUGUGUCAGAGGGGGGUAGAAUUCCACGUGUAGCAGUGAAAUGCGUAGAUAUGUGGAGGAAUACCGAUGGCGAAGGCAGCCCCCUGGGAUAACACUGACGCUCAUGCACGAAAGCGUGGGGAGCAAACAGG